AAUGCUCAUAUUUUAAUAAAUAUACAAAAUAUUUUAAAAAGCAGCUAUGAUUUCUUAUAUAGUUAAUGAAGAUAUUUUGAAUAGAAAUAUUUAUAGGUAUAUUGCAGGUAAUGUUGGAGAUAACACUGUCAGGAAUUAAGGAAUUAUUCUGUCUUAGCAACAAAUGGAUCUAGAUAUUGAAUAUGAUGGAGACAUCCAUUCAUGAAAGGAUAUAUGGCACAUUGCCUUCAGUAGUCACAAACUGUUUCCCUGGCUGUCACCUCUUUUCUUUUGAAAUAGUAUUAGACCAGCUGAUUAAAGUUCUACUGCAAUUGUGUCUUCAUAUAGAGAAUUCUGUUUAUUAUUAUGCUGUUUCAUGAUAAACAUGUAUAACCACUUUAAUGUGUUUCACCUCAAACCCUCUCAAGCAGUUAAUCAUAGAAUCCACUAGGUUGGAAAAGACCAUCAGAUUAUCAAGUCCAGCCAUUAAUUAUACGAGGUAUCUGUGUCCUUCUACUUCUUCAUUAUUCUCUACCACUCUUCCCUUCUCUGCCCUAUUUCCCAUACUGAGGAGUUUUUUCCUUCUUCUUCCUCCAGAGCCACUGCAUUCCUGUGCCGGUGACAAGCAGCACGCUGAAUGGCAGAUGUGCACAGCAGCCAACUGCUCUGUCAGGAAUGGCCCUCACAGACUGGCCCUGCAAAACGGCUCCUGAACUAUGAACUUACUGCUGAAGCUGAAGACAUAUCAGCCAUUUGUCUCUUUGUUAUCUGCCUUACAGCAUAUCUUUGUACUCUGAAAGAAGAAAAGGUAACAAUGAAGAUCUUUGAAAAAUCAUUUAUCAGGCUACAAGACCCCUGGCGUGUUGAACAAGGAAGAAAUCAUGGAGGUAACUUCUGCCCCAAUGGAUCCCAGAUCCAAAAUCUUCUUUGCAAACAUAGGCUUUCAUUUACUACAACUGGAUCAUAAAGUGACAAGUUUUCCCCUAGAAUUUAGCCUAAAGCCUCUUCUGAUCAGAUUAACUCUGUUGUAUUCAGUUGCAGACCUGGAUUAACCCCUAAGAAACACUGUAUUGUUUCUCUUCAUUGCAUAUAUCCCCAUGUCUCCUAUUAUCUCCUCUUUACUUCAGACAAAGUGAUACAAAGUUUAAUCCAUGAUAAGCUUUUUUUUUUUUUUUUUUUUUUUUUAGUUUUGGGUAUCUGUUAAGAAGUCUUUUUUGCCUGUUUUUUCCNNNNNNNNNNNNNNNNNNNNUUUAAUCCAUUUAACCUUUUUUUUUUUUUUUUUUUUUUUUAGUUUUGGGUAUCUGUUAAGAAGACUUCUUUGACAGUUGUUUCCCCUUUUAAUACAAACAGCCCGUCCAAAUAGAAAACCUUGUCAAUAGAAAUUGUUUAUCUGAAACACUGAAGGGACAGCAGGAGAAGUGCUAUUAUUUUAUGGGUUGCAGGGACAAAAUUGCCAGUGCUAAAUCCAUUGUCCCUUUUUGUAAGCAAAUUGAACUCUUGUAACCAAAUUGAAAACAUUUAUGUAUGUAUCAAAUGCAUAGUUCUUGUGAUAGACCUACUACUAUAUUGUAUUUUGCAGUGAAAGAAAAACUGUGAAGUUUUUCCAACACAAAAGAACUUUUUAAAAUAAUUAAUUUAUUUAUUUAUUCAGUAAAAGCUUUUCUAAAGCUUUUUCUUAAAAAAAUGCUUUGUCAGCAAUUGUUUCUGAUACAAGUGACAGGAAACCUAAAGAAUGCAAUUAUAAAAGUGGAUACUGGAAGGGAAGGGAUUGGCGUUACUUAUGUACCUGCCUAACUACCUACUUACUAGAAAUAAUAGACUUAGAAAUAAUAUAACAUGGGGCACAUUAAUGGUUUGGAUAACACAGCUGUAUUUGGUCAGUGAUGAUUUAUAUGAAAAUAAUAUAGGACUUGUUUCAUCAUUGCUACCAAUACAUGUUGAUGUAAUAUAACUUAAUAGCAAGCCCGGCUCUUUUUCAGCAAACACCUAAGAUCCAAGGAAGCUUCACUGGCCUCAUCACAUGAGUUUUGCUAAGGUCUCUUCAAAUAAGUGUUCUUUGUGGGGUAGAGUUAGGGCUAAACAGAGAUAAUCCUGUCAAGACUUUAAGAUGUUUUCAGAAACUCAAAUCAGGACACAGUACAGCAGAUUAUCCCAUGGCCUUUCACCUCCAAGGCUAGCACACGUGGUAUUGAGAGAUGAGACAUAGCUUUUAAAAAUGUGUACAUUAGAAGUUUCUGAACUGACUGGUAUUAACUAUAUUCCCACAAAUGUUUCCUGCAGCCUUUGGAUGGCAGUGUUAUACACCUGGCACAGACUGACUGAAUUUCCACAGUCUUUCUGAUGCCCUCCGAUAACUUCUUAAAAGAGAGACUUAUUUUUUCUGUUUAGAUUUUUUUUCCCAAUAAAAAGUCUUCAUAUUUUCCUUUAAAACA
This is a long non-coding RNA of Anser cygnoides (Swan goose), 2411 nucleotides long. NCBI's taxonomy places the organism in Eukaryota, Metazoa, Chordata, Aves, Anseriformes, Anatidae. The record is from Ensembl.